This is a long non-coding RNA of Callithrix jacchus (white-tufted-ear marmoset), 745 nucleotides long. RefSeq lists it as uncharacterized. NCBI's taxonomy places the organism in Eukaryota, Metazoa, Chordata, Mammalia, Primates, Cebidae. The record is from RefSeq and is a predicted model, not a curated record.
CAAAUGGAGAAUCUAUGAUGUUUAUGCAGCUUUUCUUCCUCUUUACCCGGAAAGGAAUCCUUUGUUGCCUGUGCGGGCUUAUGGCUGCUUUGAUCAACAGAGUACGGCAAAAUCCACACCAUGUGACUUCUGAGGCCAGGUAAUAAAAGACCAGGCAAUCCCCAUCUGGCCCUCACAGAAUGCUCCCUCUGGGAAUACUUGCUUCAGGAGCCCAGUCACAGGCUGUGAGGAAGCCCAAGCCACAUGGAGAGGCCGUGUGUAGGCACUCUGGCUCCAGGUGCCCAGCUGAGCCCAGCCUUCAAGUUGUCUCAGCCUAGAUGCCAGAUGAUGCUGAUCACAAGUCCUGGGCCCCUCAUACUUCUGACCAACUGACGAACUCCCAGUCAGCAAGUGAACGGGAUGGAACUGAACCCAAGUUUAACACCAAAGAUCACAUUCUGCCUGGCUGCCUCCUCCUGCCAGAAACCUGAAGGAGAACUACAUCAGAAAUCCUCAUCCCUGAAAACGGGAAAGGUAAACAGCAUCCUCAACUAUAAAAGCCCUAAGUUGCCAGUAUUUAGUUCCCCCAAGAUUAGGAGAAAUAACACAUAAGGUCCUGGAUUAACAAAUGAGCAUCAGAUCUGAGUGCCCAUAGCCAGGGGGAAAAAUCAAGAAGCAGAUCUGAAAGAAAAGGAAAUCCUCUCCUCAUCCCUUUUCUUUUGUCUCCAAAGGGACUUUCUGUCUCCAGAGGGCUCUGCACUGAAGA